GGACAGUAUGGGAGUGAGAAUGUUGGCAUGAGUAGCGAGAUGUGGGUGGGAAUCCCACAGGCCGUAAACCCAAGGUUUCCAGGGGAAGGUUCGUCCACCCUGGGUUAGUCGGGACCUAAGCUGAGGCCGAAAGGCGUAGGUGAUGGACAACAGGUUGAUAUUCCUGUACUACCGAUAACCGUUUGAGAGAAGGGAUGACACAGUAGGAUAAGCUAAGCACACUG
RNAcentral lists this ribosomal RNA (224 nucleotides) under Clostridioides difficile. RNAcentral's name for it is "partial 23S ribosomal RNA". It matches the Rfam family "Bacterial large subunit ribosomal RNA", at positions 1275 to 1497 of the family's 2925-position model. Lineage: Bacteria; Bacillati; Bacillota; Clostridia; Peptostreptococcales; Peptostreptococcaceae. The record is from RNAcentral.